ACAGAGGUGGCGAGCGUUGUUCGGAUUUACUGGGCGUAAAGGGCGCGUAGGCGGCCUUGCGUGUCGGGUGUGAAAUCUCCGGGCCUAACCCGGAAAGUGCGCCCGAAACUGCAAGGCUGGAGUGCGGGAGGGGAGAUCGGAAUGCAGGGUGUAGCGGUGAAAUGCGUAGAUAUCAGGCAGAACACCGGUGGCGAAGGCGAAUCUCUGGGACGCUACUGACGCUGAGGCGCGAGAGCAGGGGGAGCAAUCAG
This 251-nucleotide ribosomal RNA is filed under the name uncultured prokaryote. RNAcentral's name for it is "partial 16S rRNA". It matches the Rfam family "Bacterial small subunit ribosomal RNA", at positions 525 to 775 of the family's 1533-position model. The record is from RNAcentral.